RNAcentral lists this ribosomal RNA (253 nucleotides) under uncultured bacterium. Its description in RNAcentral is "partial 16S ribosomal RNA". It matches the Rfam family "Bacterial small subunit ribosomal RNA", at positions 524 to 776 of the family's 1533-position model. The record is from RNAcentral.
UACGUAGGGGGCAAGCGUUGUCCGGAAUCAUUGGGCGUAAAGAGCGUGUAGGCGGCCCGGUAAGUCCGCUGUGAAAGUCCAGGGCUCAACCCUGGAAUGCCGGUGGAAACUGUCGGGCUAGAGUCCGGAAGAGGCGAGUGGAAUUCCUGGUGUAGCGGUGAAAUGCGCAGAUAUCAGGAGGAACACCGGUGGCGAAGGCGGCUUGCUGGGCCAGUUCUGACGCUGAGGAGCGAAAGCGUGGGGAGCGAACAGG